Molecule: ribosomal RNA, 402 nt
Filed under: uncultured bacterium
Lineage: Bacteria
Also listed under: 1 other name
Description: partial 16S ribosomal RNA
Rfam family: Bacterial small subunit ribosomal RNA
Source: RNAcentral
UGGGGAAUUUUGCGCAAUGGGCGAAAGCCUGACGCAGCAACGCCGCGUGCGGGACGAAGGCCUUCGGGUUGUAAACCGCUUUCAGCAGGGAUGAAACUGACAGUACCUGCAGAAGAAGCCCCGGCUAACUACGUGCCAGCAGCCGCGGUAAUACGUAGGGGGCAAGCGUUAUCCGGAUUUAUUGGGCGUAAAGCGCGCGUAGGCGGCUUGUUAAGCGAGAUGUGAAAACCGGGGGCUUAACCCGCGGCCUGCAUCUCGAACUGGCAGGCUUGAGUCUGGUAGAGGAAAGUGGAAUUCCCAGUGUAGCGGUGAAAUGCGCAGAUAUUGGGAGGAACACCAGUGGCGAAGGCGGCUUUCUGGGCCACGACUGACGCUGAGGCGCGAAAGCUAGGGGAGCGAACA